Molecule: small RNA, 78 nt
Filed under: Flavobacterium sp. 9
Lineage: Bacteria; Pseudomonadati; Bacteroidota; Flavobacteriia; Flavobacteriales; Flavobacteriaceae
Description: Flavo-1 RNA
Rfam family: Flavo-1 RNA
Source: RNAcentral
CCCUAGCCCCGAUAGAAGUGGAAAUCCUUUUGUGGCGGGGUUCGCCACAAAAGAUUGUAACGGAUAGCGGGAUUAGCU